UACGAAGGGGGCUAGCGUUGCUCGGAUUGACUGGGCGUAAAGGGCGCGUAGGCGGAUAGUACAGUCAGGCGUGAAAUUCCUGGGCUCAACCUGGGGGCUGCGUUUGAUACGUGCUGUCUUGAGUUCGGAAGAGGGUCGUGGAAUUCCCAGUGUAGAGGUGAAAUUCGUAGAUAUUGGGAAGAACACCGGUGGCGAAGGCGGCGACCUGGUCCGAGACUGACGCUGAGGCGCGAAAGCGUGGGGAGCAAACAGG
Molecule: ribosomal RNA, 253 nt
Filed under: uncultured bacterium
Lineage: Bacteria
Description: partial 16S ribosomal RNA
Rfam family: Bacterial small subunit ribosomal RNA
Source: RNAcentral